UCUUUUUAUGAAGAUGUGGCGCUUUUCUGGGGAGCAAUGUUUGGUUAAGGACACUUUUGAAAACAAAACAAAAAGAACCACCAAAACCCUGCUUGUUUUUUCUUGCCUGUGUAGCACUGAGUAUCACAGAUUAAUUACGAAAUGACAACUGUUAAGUCAGUUUUUCCUCAUUUGUUCUUUUAGGGUCUUUUUCUUAACACUAGUACAGUCCUGUAUUACCUAGGAAAGCAUUUUUAGUCCAUGUAUCUCACAGUUUAGUUGAGCAUAAAGAAUAGGGGCUAGAAAGUAGUUCUCCAUAUAGCUAAUACACACUUUCCCUCUCCAUAUCUUCCCUGUAAAUCAUGUAGUUGUAUGUUUUCUUUAUGGUUGUAACUUCAGACAGAGGCUCCAUUAGAUUGGUACCAAAGGAGUGAUUUUUAGGAAAGGAAUGAUGUGUUUUGCCAUGUAAACAUCUCCUCUCAUAUUAUAGUAAUGUUGGUAUGGGAUAUUUUUGAUCCUACCAUCAUGUGUUCUUAAGGAAAAUGUAAUUUAGUUUUUCUGGUUUUGCUUGAGUCAGGAACUUAGGGAUGGAUCUGAGCUGGGGAAGGAUGUGGAUAAAUGCAUAAAAUACAUUUAUGGUGCAAGCCAUUUCAGUGUUUACCACACUGGAAUUCAGUCUAUUAUGUUAGGUCCACUAAGCAUUCGUAGCAUUAGAGAUGGGAACCAUGGUGUGACUUGUAUUCCAUGUGUGGAUUUAAAACAGGUAAGUGCAACAGAAAGGAAGGGGAAAGGAGGAUAAUAAUUGAGUUCACAGGAUUAUAAGAGCUAAUUGUGUAAAACAAAACUAUAUUCCCUGGUAGUUCAUGGUGUUCAGCUCGGUAGUUUGCAUCUCUACUGAGAUACAGCCACAGCAGGGGUACAGGCUUUGGUACUACAAGUAAAUCAAUCUGUACUGACAUUUGGGUAUUCAAUCCACUGAAAUUGAUAUAAGAUGAUGCACUUGGAUUGGAUCCUAAUAGUAGAAGUGAAAGUAUUAAAUCAUAUUUACUUCCAGAAUUUUUGCACUUUAUGUGCUUUUUUGACACUGUUUUGUUUUGGGUUUUUUUGAGACGCUUGCAUUUUGUUACUUCCUUCCAUUCCAUCCAGACUACAGCUUUUAAAAAUCUUCUCGCAUUUCAACCUGAAAAUUAUAAGGUUCCUUUUCUGAAAUCCCUCACUGACUCUCCUUCCUGUGUUGUGCUGAGUUUAAAGAUGUCUUCAAAGACUCGGUAGAAGCCUUUUUCCUUUUAUAUCUGGUUCCUUGCUAUUUUUCCUCUGUUUUUGCUUCUGUCAGUAAUAUGAGACUCAAUGCUCUGGUUUAUGUUUAGGCAUUUGUGUUUCUCUCCUUGUCCCUAAAAUACUCUGUCUUAGUGUUAGUUCACAAAGCCAGAAUCUCUUAUGUGAGUCCAGUGCUUUACAGCUUGGCUGUUCCAUAAUAUCCUCAAGGAAUUACUUAUAUUUAAACAGAAUACUUUCUGGAAAUAUUCUAUAAAGUUGUCCUGAUCCUCUUCCUAUUUAUUUCCCUCCUACUGCCUGCUGGAAGCUGCGAGCUUAUAAAUUCUGCUUGGUCCUGUAAAGCAUCGUGCAUGCCUUUGAAUGAACAGUUACUCCUGUAGAGAAAUCAACAGGAGAGUAGGGCUAUCAUGGUCUGACUUCUUGCAUCUGUUGAGAAAUAGUAGCAUCUCAGAAGUUUGUGACUGUUUUCUUCAAGAAGGAAGUUGAUUAAAAACUUACAGGGGUGUCCUAGCGAAACUCUGAAAUGCAAAAUAACCUGUUGUAACUGAAUCCCCUGCAGUUAUUUUCACUCAAACUUCAUUAUGAGAGGCCUAUUCAGUGUGAAAUUAAUGCCUUAUUCCACUCUGUGGGCAGCAGGAUUUCUGUGAGAGCUUGAACUAUUUCUGUAUCUUUCGGUAUUUCUAAAGUAACUUCAGGGAAAGCACUAGCUGUUUCAUUUAAAUUAAUCCAUGUCUGAAGCUGUUUAUGUUUGCACUUAUAUAGAUUGUAUUAUUAACUGCUGCACAAAGAUUACUGGUCUGUAAGCAUGUAGAGAAUAAUUUCAUAAUUUUCUUUGCCCACCAGCUUAUCAGGGAUUGUUUUCGGGGAAGGAGAUUUGUUCUGGGAUCAUGUUGGAAAACCCGUCAGUUUGCAGAACAAAAUGGAAGCAACAGCAUGGAAUUUAGCCAUCUUUGAAUAAUAAAGAUACCGCUUUGUUGUCUGUUGACAUAUAAAGACUUUAAUUUCACCUACAGCCUAUUCUCAGAUUUAUUUCUACAAACACUGAGCCUAACAGCGGUCCUUACACACAGCUUCAUUGGAUUUUCUUUGUGGAGGGCUUGCUGGACUUGUUUUGUAGGCAUGUUUGUAUGCAGUUUUCAGAUUUUGAUUGCAAGUGCUGCUCUAACCAUAGCUGUGCUACCUUUUCAGUAGACUAAAACUAAAAAAGUAGAGCAGCUGUGAUUAGACUGGUUAGACAGACUUAGUUGCGUCUGAGUCAGACUGCUGUUGCACAGCAGUAAUGUCAUGCAGUUUUUAUGACCAGAGACCAUGAAUUUCCACACGCUUGUUUUCUGUUUGUUUACUCUUAGCAUGACUUCAGUUCUUGGUUUGUAUACUAAUGCUUAGAAUCUCUUCCGAUGUUUUGCUCAACACUGGAGACUUGGAGUUAGAUAACUCUCAGCUGCAGCUGAAAACAAAUCUGUCACUAUACACCCCUUCUAAUUGCUGAUUUCAUUUAAUGUCUAAAAUGCAUUUGAUUGUGAAUCUCACUGAACUUGGUAAGAACAGUUUCAAUGUUUGAGUUAUGUCUUGUCAUUUUCACAGUUUCUAUUUCCCUGUAGGCUGUUUUGUCCAGCUGUGUUCAGUCUCCUUACUGUCUUUUCUGUUUUAAAGCCCGGAGUACUGUCAGCUUCAGGGUUAGAAAAACGGAGCUCCCUAAUUUCUGUAGCAGUAGCUCUUUUCAGCUUUUGACUAUGAUUCAGUUUCUAGAGUGUUUUAUGAUGUAUUUCUCAGGUGUUGUAACUAAAGAAAUAGGGUAUUAGUGAAACAAAGUUGUGAUUCUGAUGAUUCACUCUUUUCUGGCGUUUUAGAAAUUCAUUGGUCCUAGCUUGAUCUGUCUUCCAGCAAUGGAGCAAAGACUUUGCAAUUUCUGUUAAGAUUUAUGGACUCCUGUGUGUAGAUUUAUAUGGGAAUGCAUUGUUAGACAUCAAGUGUUUGGUCUCCCUUUAAGUCUCUAAGUGUAACUUUACCAAAGGCUGAUAGAGAGUAGCACUCAGUAAACUCAGAUUUGAAUUUAAUAUUGCCUUUAUAUAUAUAUUUUUAAAACUAAUGCUUAAUUUGAUCACUUUUUUGUAAUUCCCCUGUAAUGUAUUACUUUGGCUAGAUUACCAUCAAAUACAGUACAUGGUGUUGAUGGUGGAGCCUCUCGCUGCUGGUGGCUGUGAAAAAGAACUGUCUUUCCUGACUGCCUUUGUUCCUCCCAGCUCAUUCUUGCUGCCUUCCUGUGGCCAGCAUUAGUCUUUGGGCGGCUGCUUGGUGAACUCAGUGAAGACCUGGUGUAGCUUUUUUUCUCCUUCCUAGAUGGGUCAGGGAUCCAUCUUGCUGUAGACCGUGUGAAUGUUUCUGCUGCCACAGGCGAGAGCUAGAACAAGUGGCUGAAGGGAUGUGGUGGUGACGGCAGCCAGUUGUCCUGGCUGGAGCGGCUCUUCCACCAUGGUGUUGGUCUGGCUUGUCAUGUAUUCUUGGUGAAAUGCCUAACUUUCUAGAAACUUUUGACUAAUUUUCGUUUUACUAGUACAUGCAGCAAAAUGGAGUAAUCAAACCAGCUGGGCUCUUUUCUUACAUUGCCAGAUGUUUUUAUAUGUACUUUAUUUGAAAACAGUGAGAGCUGUUCAUUGUGAGUAAGCAGACCUCUGUCCUGGGUCACCUCAAGCAUCUGAGCAAGCAGACGUGCAUGUGAAGAGCAUUAUGAUAAUCCAAUUCAGAGGUAGCUAAACCAGUAAUGUAGACUGUGGCAGGUUAGACAAGAAUCUGAUUAACUUCGCUUUCCCAGGUGAACCAGCCCAAAACACAUUUGAGGCACUUCAUUGCUAGCACUCAUUAAGUCUUCAGAGUCAGUAUAACGAGAGAGACCCUUCUGAGAGUGAUUCAGCCCCGCUGUAAGAUCUGAAAUGACCGUCUCAUUCACUGGGCAAUACAAAGGGAACUGUGUGCAGUUAUCAUGCUGCUUAACCUGGUGCAUCAGUGAGGUAAGACGAAUUGGAGACCUUGUAUAUAGAGUCCAAAGGAAACAGGAGAGAGUGGGUUUUGGCAAGAUUAAAGAGGUCAUUUGAAUUUAAACAGAGAUAGUUUGAAAACAAAGUCCAGUCCAAAUGAGGUCAGUAGCAAAGACUGGGGAAAUCAGAGAUUAGGAAAUCAAAGAAGUGUAGCCAAAAGUCAGUUGUAGUAAAUAAAAGUUAGGGAAAUGUUUUUUGUGGCUAUCAAAAGAAAAGGUAUUUUGAUUCUAUAUUGCACGUGAAAAGAGGAAGCUGAGGAGGGCUAGGGCAUUUAUAGAGGAGACAGAUGACCUGUGAUGGAGGAGAUCAGUUUUUUAUAUCAAAACAUAAAUUAAAUUAGUCAUAACCAAAUAGCCUUACUGUUAAAACAACCAUUAAUGACACUGACUACCUUGUUGUAAUAAGAGCAUAAAAUACUCUCCAAGUUACGGGAAUUGCCUGUAGAGGCUAAGAAAGAAUAUGGGGGGCGGGGGGGGAGAUUCUGGGAGAUGAGGUUUGAGCCCUGAACAUUCCAUCAGAGUUGUUUGUCAGAGGCUGUAAAGGAGAGGAAAGCUUGUGGUGGUAUGAUGAUUAGGCGUGGGACAAGAAAUGCAGCAUAGGAAGGAGGGUGAAUUUUCACUGUGGUGUGGCUAAUGCCAUUUGUAAUUCAGUGCCUAAUAAAUUAGGAAAUGAACCUAUAAACUUUUCAGCUGAUGCAGUUUACUUACAAGUUUCUAAGUUUUUGAGAUUCUAAGUUGCUGUAAGACUAGUUUAAAUUUAAAAAUUGAAAGCUCAUUAAAGGAGAGGAAGCAAGGGCAGGGCUUAAUGGUCACUGUUCAGGGUGGACAGCAAUCUGGGUGGUGACAUCCCUCCUCAUCCUCCCCCCCCCAAGAGUUCUGUGCUGUGAUCAGUCUUACUCCUCAUUUCCAUUGCUGUUGUGGUCUAAGAAAUGUAGGCAGUAAUUUCCAGGUUUUUGAGUGGUAUUGCACUGCCUCAGGUAAUGAUAGUGGUACUGAAGAUUUCCAGAAGGACUUCUAUGAGCUUCAGUAUAGCUGUAUGUAUGGUUAUAUGUCCGGGUGGUUGGGAAUAAUCAAACUGAUUGCAUGAAACUGAAUUUGGAGCUGGCAGUUGCACUGUGGAGACAAUGAUUUGAGAGAGCUGUUGGUGCUAAUUCUGGGAUCUUUCCUGUUUGCAGCAGCAGCCAAAAAAGCCACCGAUGUUAUGCAUCGACAGGGUGUUGAAAACAAUAUCUAUCGAGGGUGUUGCUGCGUGGUCCUGAAAGCCUUGGGGCACUCACAUUCGGAGUACUGCAUGCGGUUUUGGUCUCCCCAUCCUGAGGAGUGUGCGUAAUGGAGUUACCAAAGAUACAGAAGAACUUUACUGAAAAGAGUUAGGGAACUGAGCAGCUGUCUUGCAAGGAGACAGUCAGAAGGCGGGGAUGUUUCAAUAUGGGAAUGAGAAGGCAGGAAGGGGGGUGACUAUGUACAGAACGGGGAAGGCAGUAGAUGAGGUGAAUGUGCAACAGCAACUCUCCAAAUUCUGCAGUAUUAGAGCUCAGGGACGGUAGGUGAAAUGAGUAGGCGACUGAUUUAAAGCAGAUGUACAGUGUAGUGAACUGCUGGAACUUGGUCCUGUGGGAGGUGGUGGAAGCGGUUAGUAUGGGCAGGUUCAAAAAGAGGUUAAACGCUUGCAUACACAACUGCACCAUAAGCGAAUACUAAAGCGAAUGGACUUUGGUGUCCCUGCUACAACAGUUGGGGGUGCUGCGGAGAUACAAAAGGUAUGCACGGCAGGCUUGUAUGGUCUCCCCGGGUAAGACUUGCUGUUGCCAGUGAUGAAGGUAGGCUUAGAUGGACCGCUGGUCAGACCUGAAGGGCAGUUUCUACGUUCCAGUUAUGGGCAUGAGGAAGAACAUUCCUAAAAUGACCAAGAACAGGAGGGAGAGCGAUAUUAAAGUAUACUGAGUAUUCCCUUCCUUGGGAUGUUGUGGUUCUGUACGUUUUGUCAACAAGGAUUUUACUAGAAAUGUGACAGUUGCUUGAGAAUUACUGAUGUGCUGCUUAGCUGUGGCAGCGGUGAGGAGGGUCAGCUACGACUUGGAAAAUGCUGCUGCACAGAACAUGCUCUGCUAAACCAGCUAUUCAGAAGCACCGAGUCUCCUUUUUAAAGGACUUAUGAAGAAGCUUUUAAACUCUAGCUCGUAAGUGACUUGGAGGAUCAAAAUUUAGUUCAGGUGAACAAAAAGAUUUGAAAACAAGUUUAUUGACAAAUGAAAAGUUUACUUUUUCGCAUACUGUAACCAUUGUCCUUCAUUAUAGCUUCAGGUUUGUUUUAUUCAGUCUCAUACAUGUUAACUUAAUUACCUUGUAGACUGUUGCUCAGUGGCGUGUGGCAUAAGGCAGAACGCUGUUUUCCAGGCACCAGGUUCUUGGAAAUUGAGUUACAACUUUUAAGCUACUGUUCCAGGGGAGGAAACAAGCCAGACAUAGCAUGGUGCCCUAGCCCGUUACGUUAUUUUGCUAGUCCCUUCUAAAUAUAUUAAAAACACCUUAAACAUUACCUUUUUUUUGUCUCCAGUACCAAGGGGGGCAGUGUGGGUUGUCCUGGUUAGGUCUUUACCUGCUUUUUUUGGUUAACUCGGCAACCCACUUCCAGUUUGUGUUGGGUGCCAGCAUUCAGCCAACCUGAUUGUAAAUGUUUGUGUCUCUAAAGCGGCCGUAUGGGUGCAGGAAAUAAAAUCCUCUACUAAUACAUUUAAUAGUUUCUUAUCUCAUGAUCACAUUAACAUUUCAAAUUAAAGGGAUAACAGUAAGCAAAGGUAAGUGGAGGUGGGUAGAAUUACAGUGUCGUUUCAUACUCUCUGUGCUUGCAACUUUUUCUUUCUUUUUGAAUGGCUAGAUUUUAGCCUUUUGGCUUCUGAUAACUGCAGCGAUACUGAAAGUGAUUUUCUCCUUAGUUCUUGAAUUUCCAGUCAGAGUAUGUGAGGUGUAGCCAACCCUGAAAUGUUCAUGGAGAAAAAAAACCUUCCAGAAUAAAAAAAACUGUUUCCAUUAUAGUAGAAAUAGUCUUGGAGAUGACGGUUUCUUUGGUAAA
Non-coding RNA from Phalacrocorax carbo (great cormorant), 7361 nucleotides. NCBI's taxonomy places the organism in Eukaryota, Metazoa, Chordata, Aves, Suliformes, Phalacrocoracidae. The record is from RefSeq and is a predicted model, not a curated record.